UGAGCCAUAACUUGAAAGGGUCAGUCAGGACAUUCGGCUAGUGAAUCUAUCAAUAACCAGACCUGAGCUGGCGUCCCCGAGGCUCCACCUGGUUCCAUUUGUGUUUGUUCUGGACAGCACUUCUCAGGGGCAUAUGAAUGUUGGCAGCUGGCCACUUGGAGGUCAAUGCUCACUGGAACAUUUCACUGUCCCUGUUAAUAUGCAUACCAAAUCAGAAGCCUCCCCUCCUGUCCACUCCAUUGAGCCUCCAUGGCCGCUAUAGGGGAACUUCCAGGACACAUAUAUGACUCUGGUUUUCCUCCCUGGGCAGAGACUUUCUCCCAUACAUUGGAGGAAAUGCCAACCAAUGCAAGAUCGGGAAUCUUUCCCCAACAUUAGGAGAGCUAGCUGGCCCCACAACCAAAGCACUAACAGCCCAACAAUGAUCACUGGACUCUUUGGCUACAGUAAUUUUGGAUAAUGGCACAGCCCUUGAUUAUCUACUGGCUGAACAAGGAGGAGUCUGGACAAGAGUGAAUACCGCCUGCUACACGUGGAUAAAUUCCUCUGGGGAAAUAAAUACCUACCUGCAUAAAAUCAGAGAAUAAGCACUUUGGCUGCAAAGAAUUCUGCCUAAUGACCUAUGAGCCUUAGACCUAUUUAACUAUCGAUUUCAUCUUUUUGAAACUAACAAAUUUCUGGAACAGGAAAAAGAAAGAAAACUCCAACUGGCCUAGACAAAUUCGAGCUCAACCACCAGGGGGACGCCUGCACAGCUGAGCCAUAAAGUGCUGGACAGUUACCUCAACUUCAUUAUAACGUUAGAAUCUCUGCCCUGGGGCAGGAACAUAAGCUUCGUUAACAUAACCUAUGGUGCAUAUAUAGGUAUGUUUUCUAAGUGCACAUGCACAAACCUAUGUUCGCCUUUUAUAUGCAGUGAUGAAACUCCCCCUCUGAAUAUUCAUCUCAAACCCCCAAGUUAAAAGAAUUGGUUCAACCCUUCUCGGAGAGUCAUGGCUUUGGAAGUUAUUCCCCUUGAUCUCCUUAGUUGCUGCAAAUAAAGUUUCCUUUGUGUGACAGCUC
Herpailurus yagouaroundi (jaguarundi) is the source of this 1062-nucleotide long non-coding RNA. RefSeq lists it as uncharacterized. Lineage: Eukaryota; Metazoa; Chordata; Mammalia; Carnivora; Felidae. The record is from RefSeq and is a predicted model, not a curated record. The transcript is spliced from 2 exons.